CCAAAAGUGUCUUUCUACAAAGAGAGAAACAUAAACUGAUGGACAAUCACCAAGCCCAGCUCCAGAGAUGGGGCUAUAUGCGUAAUAUGGUUGUGUCCCUGAUAGCACGUUGUUUAUUACUAUAUUCUGCACUAUUUCCGGGCUGCAGUCAGAAUCGGGUGUCAUUAGGGUCUCAUGGCAUGUUUGUAUGUCCGUCGUGGUUGGGUGUACUACCAACUGGCCAUGGCUGAGUGAUAUGUGUUCUAUUGGCUGGAGGUCACUGGUAUUAGGAAGGGAUUUGCUGGGCUUUCAUAAGAAAGGGGGGAAAAAAACAUUAUUCUCCGCAUUAUGACAGGGCCUUCUCUCCAGUCAACUGGAUCCAACAAGUCCCUGGUCACAUGACCAUGUUGCAAUAAGCGGCUAUCAUCAAAUGUCCCAGUAGCCACAACAGAGCUACUCAGCAGAGACGGGCAGAACAGUGCUACACAGAACAGAUCUACUCAGCGGAGACAGGGAGGACAGAAUUACACAGAACAGGGCUACUCAAUAGAGACAGGCAGAAAGCAGAACUGUUUAGUAGACAGAGCUUCUAAGUAGAGACAGACAUUGGAGCGACUCAGUAGAGACUAACAGAGCUACUCAAUAGAGACAGACAUAGCAGAACUACUCAUUAGAGACAGACAGAGGUACCCAGUAGAAACAGACACAGCUACUCAGUAGAGACAGAGCUACUCAAUAGAGACAGACAUUAGAGCUACUCAAUAGAGACAGACAUUAGAGCUACUCUGUAAAGACAGAACUAUUCUGUACUGACAGAACUACUCAGAAGAGACAGAACUAUUCUGUAGAGACAGAACUACUCAGUGGAGACAGACAUUGGAGUGACUCAGUAGAGACUAACAGAGCUACUCAAUAGAGACAGACAUAGCAGAACUACUCAUUAGAGACAGGCAGAGCUACUGAGUAGAGACAGACACAGCUACUCAGUAGAGAUAGAGCUACUCAAUAGAGACAGACAUUAGAGCUACUCAGGAGAGACAGAACUACUCAGUGGAGACAGUACAACUCAGUAGAGACAGAACUACUCUGUAGAGACAGAACUACUCUGUACUGACAGAACUACUCAGAAGAGACAGAACUACUCUGUAGAGACAGAACUACUCAGUGGAGACAGACAUUGGAGUGACUCAGUAGAGACUAACAGAGCUACUCAAUAGAGACAGACAUAGCAGAACUACUCAUUAGAGACAGGCAGAGCUACUGUGUAGAGACAGACACAGCUACUCAGUAGAGACAGAGCUACUCAAUAGAGAAAGAAAGAACUACUCAAUUGAGACAGACAUUAGAGCUACUCAGUAGAGACAGACAGAGCUAUCCAGAAAAGACAGAACUACUCAGUAGAGACAGUACAACUCAGUAGAGACAGAACUACUCAGUAGAGACAAACUACUCAGUAGAGACAGUACAAUUCAGUAGAGACAGUACAACUCAGUAGAGACAGUACAACUCAGUAGAGACAAACUACUCUGUAGAGAUCGGAGACAGAAAGUAUCAGUGAAAUAAAUUCUGAACAUCAAGCACCCUUACGCUGUAACCCCUAUCUGCAUCCAAAAUUGCACCCACUAAAACAAACUAAUUUGAAUUACAU
Molecule: long non-coding RNA, 1627 nt
Organism: Esox lucius (northern pike)
Lineage: Eukaryota; Metazoa; Chordata; Actinopteri; Esociformes; Esocidae
Source: Ensembl